UGGGGAAUCUUGCACAAUGGGGGCAACCCUGAUGCAGCGACGCCGCGUGAGCGAUGAAGCCCUUCGGGGCGUAAAGCUCUUUCGACCGGAACGAUAAUGACGGUACCGGAAGAAUAAGCACCGGCUAACUUCGUGCCAGCAGCCGCGGUAAUACGAAGGGUGCAAGCGUUACUCGGAAUUACUGGGCGUAAAGCGUGCGUAGGUGGUUGUUUAAGUCUGAUGUGAAAGCCCUGGGCUCAACCUGGGAAUGGCAUUGGAAACUGGGCAGCUAGAGUGCGGUAGAGGGUAGUGGAAUUCCCGGUGUAGCAGUGAAAUGCGUAGAGAUCGGGAGGAACAUCUGUGGUGAAGGCGACUGCCUGGACCAGCACUGACACUGAGGCACGAAAGCGUGGGGAGCAAACA
Molecule: ribosomal RNA, 402 nt
Filed under: uncultured bacterium
Lineage: Bacteria
Description: bacterial SSU rRNA
Rfam family: Bacterial small subunit ribosomal RNA
Source: RNAcentral